GUAGGUAAACCGCGGAAGGAUUUUA
RNAcentral lists this ribosomal RNA (25 nucleotides) under Melanoleuca decembris. Its description in RNAcentral is "partial 18S ribosomal RNA". Lineage: Eukaryota; Fungi; Basidiomycota; Agaricomycetes; Agaricales; Pluteaceae. The record is from RNAcentral.